Molecule: unclassified non-coding RNA, 329 nt
Filed under: soil metagenome
Description: partial contains 5.8S ribosomal RNA, internal transcribed spacer 2, and large subunit ribosomal RNA
Rfam family: 5.8S ribosomal RNA (bases 1-120)
Source: RNAcentral
GAUGAAGAACGUAGCGAAAUGCGAUAAGUAGUGUGAAUUGCAGAAUUCAGUGAAUCAUCGAAUCUUUGAACGCACAUUGCGCCCCUUGGUAUCCCGAGGGGCAUGCCUGUUCGAGCGUCAUUUCACCACUCAAGCCUGGCUUGGUGUUGGGCGACGUCCCCUUUGGGGACGCGCCUCGAAACGCUCGGCGGCGUGGCUCCGGCUUUAAGCGUAGCAGAAUCUUUCGCUUUGGAAGUCGGGGCCCCGUCUGCCGGAAGACCUACUCGCAAGGUUGACCUCGGAUCAGGCAGGGAUACCCGCUGAACUUAAGCAUAUCAAUAAGCGGAGGA